This 1017-nucleotide ribosomal RNA is filed under the name Triticum aestivum (bread wheat). RNAcentral's name for it is "partial small subunit ribosomal RNA". Lineage: Eukaryota; Viridiplantae; Streptophyta; Magnoliopsida; Poales; Poaceae. The record is from RNAcentral.
AUGCCGGACAAACCGGCAUUUGCGGAUGGGGUGGCGAAUGCGCUGGGGAAGGUCCUGUGUCCCUUGAGGGGACUAAGGUGCAAAGAUCUGGGCGACAACAUUUUUGUGCUUACUUUCCAUCAGCAGUCAGGAAAAAGGAAAGCCCUCGAUGACGGACCCUGGAUGUUUGGGAAGUCUCUGUUGGUGAUGGAGGAUUUUGAUCCAAGCAAGGGUAUCAAGGACUACAAGUUCACAACGAUCCCGAUAUGGGUCAGAGUGUUUGAUUUGCCACUGGGGAUGAUGUGUCGUGAAGCGGGCCUUGCAAUUGGGGAAAUAAUAGGAGAAGCCCUCGAAGUAGAUGCCGGCGCGGACGGUAUGACAGUGGGAAAAUACUUGAGGAUCAAGGUCCGUAUGGAUAUUACAAAGCCCAUCAUGAGGGGUUUCGUGCUAGAUGCUGAUGAUGAGAAGGAAAUAGAGGAGAAGAACUUAACAUAAGAAGAAAGGAGAAAGAGGGAGCAAGAAAAUUGGCGUCGGUUCGAAUAUGAGUUCUUGCCCGAUUUCUGCUACAUCUGUGGCAGGCUUGAUCAUGUUGAGAGUGGCUGCUCUAUCAGGCUGAAGAGGGGGGAGGAGAAGCAGUUCGGUUCUUGGCUAAAGGCCUUUAUACCGAAAUUCACGGGUGAAAAUAAUAGAGGCAGCUGGAAUGAGGGCCAUAACAAUUCUCGAGGGCGAAGCUAUGGGAGUGGAAGAAGCCUUAGUCUGGGUACCUCUAAAGGCAGGUCAGGCAGCGACAGCGACAGUUGGAGGAAGGAGAAAACAGGAUCAGGGCAACAGUCAGUAGAAAAUGGGACUAGGGAGGAGGAGGUCACAAGCCCUCUUAAGAAACAAAUUGCUCAAUCACGGGUGCAGGAGGGAAUCAGUGGGGAUGAGGACCCGGGAAGGGAGACAGAGCGGAGGAGGCAGCUCACAUUUGUGGAAUCCACAGCACAAGAGACACCAAUGGGGGGCGGAAUGGAGAUCUCGGGCUCUAAGGGGUUGUGA